This 429-nucleotide ribosomal RNA is filed under the name Chloroflexota bacterium. Its description in RNAcentral is "Chloroflexi bacterium partial 16S ribosomal RNA". It matches the Rfam family "Bacterial small subunit ribosomal RNA", at positions 355 to 776 of the family's 1533-position model. The record is from RNAcentral. Lineage: Bacteria; Bacillati; Chloroflexota.
UGGGGAAUAUUGCACAAUGGGCGCAAGCCUGAUGCAGCCAUGCCGCGUGUGUGAAGAAGGCCUUCGGGUUGUAAAGUACUUUCAGUCGGGAGGAAGGUGGUAAGGUUAAUAACCUUAUCAAUUGACGUUACCGACAGAAGAAGCACCGGCUAACUCCGUGCCAGCAGCCGCGGUAAUACGGAGGGUGCAAGCGUUAAUCGGAAUUACUGGGCGUAAAGCGCACGCAGGCGGUUGAUUGAGUCUGAUGUGAUAUCCCCGGGCUUAACCCGGGAGUUGCAUCUGGUACUGGUCAGCAAGAGUCUUGGAGAGGGGGGUAGGGUUCCAUGUGUAGCGGUGAUAUGCGUAGAAAUGUGGAGGAACACCGGUGGCGGAGGCGGCCCCCAGGACAAAGACUGACGCUCAGGUGCGAAAGCGUGGGGAGCAAACAGG